Tigriopus californicus is the source of this 2130-nucleotide RNA transcript. It is a transcript of the gene named prostamide/prostaglandin F synthase-like, with no coding region annotated. NCBI's taxonomy places the organism in Eukaryota, Metazoa, Arthropoda, Copepoda, Harpacticoida, Harpacticidae. The record is from RefSeq and is a predicted model, not a curated record. The transcript is spliced from 2 exons.
GUAGGCAAGUUUUCGGUCAAGGAUUCCUAAGAAUUAUUUAGGGAUCAUUUGUGACGAAGGGGUCCUUAAUAGAUCAUCAUUAAGUUGUUAAUAAGAACAAUUAGGCUCUUUUGCUCCGUUUUCCUGGAUUAUAAGACUAUCGAAGAACACAGACACAGGGCCUAAUAUUUAGAAGAUGGAAAAAGGAGUGAUUUUUUGAAGGAUUUGUUGGUUUUGUAUAACUUUUGUUUCUGAAAGUAAGUGGUAAAAGACAAGAUAAGUGAAGUGGAAAUACCGUCGAACAAAUAUUAUGUAAAUUCACAAAAACUCAUAUUUGAAACCUCAUCUCAACUUUUGCUCCUUGAGGCUGGUCUAAUUUUCUUUGAUAAGGUUUUAUAAAGCUUCCCUCGUUUUACUUUCAAGGCACAUAAGCGAGAAUAGUUGGAAUCCCCUUAAAAUCUGCCCUCUACUGAGCUUGGGGUCUGAGAUCCUCUAAGCUGGCUAAAGGGCCGAUCUUAUGCAAUUGGAGCCAUUGUAGAAGCUGGAAGCCUGAAACCGUUUGCUUGGGCAAGGGCAACGCCCCCAAAGCCCCCCAAGCGUAUAGUGCUCAAUGAAGUGUUAUGUUGGUAAUCCAAAAUUGUUCCGAAGCCAAUGAGUUGGCACGUGAUUUGCAUGGUUAAACAAGCUCUUUCAAAGGAUGUGAGACCAGACUCAUAUUUGCCAGGUCAUGCCGACUUGCUUUGAGACCCUAAUAUUCUUCGUGAUUUUUAUUCUUUCCUGCCCUUUUUUGGCCUAUCUCGAUUCUGAAGGUCUGAACUUUGAACCUCCUUAGAAGUAAGUCGAGCAGUAGAGCCGAACGAGCAGCUGCAUUCAACUAAUAUGAAAACGCCAUCAACAAAGUUGUCUGCUCUGAGAACAAGUUAAGGAACUCCCCAAACUCCUCGAGACAUUUGAGAUAUCUAGUAAGCCUCGUGCCAAUCUCUUAACACGGGAUUUCUUAUGAAACCUAACACGUCUAAGCAGUUCAAGUCUGAAUCCGAUCCACGUCAACUCUAAAGCCAUUCAGUGAUUCAGAAGGCUUCAUUGGGCAAUCGUGGGCGGGUUCUUCAUUCAGCUCAAUCGAUCGCCGGAUUGCCUGUUCUGAUAUCCUCAUCAUGUCUGCUUGGACCAUUGCGUCUAACCGCCUGUUUCCAGUGUCCCCCGAAGAUGGGUCAAUGAUAACGACCAGUCCAUUGACCACAUUUGCCGAUCUCUGGAAGGAACAAACUUGUGUCAUCAUAUUCUUCCGACGGUUUGGAUGACCAUUUUGUCGGCUUGCGGCCCGAAGGAUCUCUCAAGAGAUCGGUCCGCAAGUGCAAAAACACGCCAUUCGAUUGGUGGGCAUUGGAUUAGAGAAGCUCGGGGUGGAAGAUUUUGUGGCCGGGCAAUUUUUCCAAGGCGAACUUUUCAUUGAUGCCGAGGAUCGGAAGAGCUAUCGUGACCUUGGCUUCCACCAAAUGAGUGGGAUGGAUCUCGUGCCCGGGUUAUUGUCCCCGCAGGCCCUUUCGGCUGGUUUCAAUGCCACGCUUUCCGGUUUGGGCGGCAAUAUGUGGGGUAAUGGAAUGCAAAAUGGUGGACUUCUGGUCGUGGAGCGUGGUGGCAAUAAAGUUCCCUUUUCUUUCCGUCAAAACCAACCAUCGGAUCAUCCGGAUCGUAAAGCUAUUCUGGAUGCUCUCAACAUUCCACACGGGGAGCGUCUGUCGGAUGAGAGGAGCUCAUCUUAACCCCAUACCAAGAGCCUAGAGCCUAGAGCCUGAGCCCCAAGAUGGAAUUCCCCAUGUCGGAGCUCGACAAUCACCCAAGCGAUGCAAGCGAAUACUAUACAUGUAGGACAUGCACCAAGAGGACCACCACCACCAAGUCCUACGAGGAUUCUCUCCUUACGACUUUGUUGUACUACCCUUUCUGCCUACAAAUAGUUACUGCAAAGAAGUUUUCUCGGCCUUCUUUAUGAAAACAAUGGAAGAAAAACUCGAAAGUUUCAUAGUUGGAUGAUUUAGAACAAAGAGAUUGCUUUUUUGUAUGCUUGUUUCAUUGCUUGACAAUACAAUAGUCUCCGCUCCGGGUUUCCAAAACUUGAUGCCAUAAAAAAUAAACUUGACAGAUAAACUA